Molecule: ribosomal RNA, 253 nt
Filed under: uncultured bacterium
Lineage: Bacteria
Description: partial 16S ribosomal RNA
Rfam family: Bacterial small subunit ribosomal RNA
Source: RNAcentral
UACGGGGGGUGCGAGCGUUGUCCGGAAUCACUGGGCGUAAAGGGCGCGUAGGUGGCCUGAUAAGGGUGUGGUGAAAGUCCGGGGCUCAACCCCGGAUCUGCCGUGCCGACUGUUGGGCUGGAGUACUGUAGGGGCAGGCGGAAUUCCGGGUGUAGCGGUGGAAUGCGUAGAGAUCCGGAGGAAGACCGGUGGCGAAGGCGGCCUUCUGGACCAGCACUGACACUCAAGCACGAAAGCGUGGGGAGCAAACAGG